UACGUAGGUGGCAAGCGUUGUCCGGAUUUAUUGGGUUUAAAGGGUGCGUAGGCGGUCCUAUAAGUCAGUGCUGAAAUAUCCCGGCUUAACCGGGAGGGUGGCAUUGAUACUGCAGGACUUGGGUAAAGUUGAGGUUGGCGGAAUUGACGGUGUAGCGGUGAAAUGCUUAGAUAUCGUCAAGAACACCUAUUGCGAAGGCAGCUAACUAAGCUUUAACUGACGCUGAGGCACGAAAGUGUGGGGAUCAAACAGG
Molecule: ribosomal RNA, 253 nt
Filed under: uncultured bacterium
Lineage: Bacteria
Description: partial 16S ribosomal RNA
Rfam family: Bacterial small subunit ribosomal RNA
Source: RNAcentral